ACUAUGUGAUAAAGAGUUCCAGUGUGGCCUGUUGACUUAAGAGAGCAUGAAGGAGUAAUUUCAUGGCCAAUAAAGCCUUCUCUUAAGGAGGUCUUACAUGGAAAGGGACAUUGGCUUUCUUUUACAAGUCAUACAGAGAUGAUGCUUAGUGAUCUGUUAACACAUGAAAAAAACAAAUGAACACUGCAGUCGAUGUGUGGGUUUCAGUUUGUGAAUCAUACUGGCACUUCCAGAUACAUGGAAAACAAACUUGCAAGGGCAUGGAGAUGAUUGGGGGAGAUCUGUUUUGUUGCCCUGCCCUAGCUAUGAGGGCAACAAAAAUGCAGCUACCUGAUGGCUUGUAUGACACAAAUGGAUGAUGGGUACUCCUCCCCUGCAUUCCCUGCUGGCAUAUUUAGCUGAUGGGUGGUCUUUGUAGAAUGGACUCAGAGGAAGAAUUCCCUCUCUGUUCCAGCUGAUUGUCAUAAAACUAUUCUGGCUGUCCUCUCUGUCAUUAGAUCUCAAUGUGAAUGGAUACCAUAGUAACAAAAA
Molecule: long non-coding RNA, 531 nt
Filed under: Pogona vitticeps (central bearded dragon)
Lineage: Eukaryota; Metazoa; Chordata; Lepidosauria; Squamata; Agamidae
Description: lncRNA (ENSPVIG00000007571.1)
Source: RNAcentral